This 369-nucleotide unclassified non-coding RNA is filed under the name fungal sp. RNAcentral describes it as "partial internal transcribed spacer region". The stretch from base 1 to 46 matches the Rfam family "Eukaryotic small subunit ribosomal RNA", at positions 1786 to 1831 of the family's 1831-position model. The record is from RNAcentral. Lineage: Eukaryota; Fungi.
AAGUCGUAACAAGGUUUCCGUAGGUGAACCUGCGGAAGGAUCAUUAACACGUAUCCAAACGUUAAACAACCCCGUGAACAUACAACCUGCUCUGGUCGCCCGCUCGCAUGGACAAGCCCAGUAAAUCAAGCCCCGGAAAGUUUUUGAUUUGGGACCUCUGUGCGCGUGAGAAAAACUGACAGCGAUUCAUAGAAGCGGUAGGUCAAGUGACACGGCGUCCCCAAGUGACCAGUGAAUGAAAGUGUCCUUCCGUGUAUACCGAGCUAACACCGCUCCCUUCCGAACCCCACUUUAUUGCCUUGCCUGUAAGCAUCCAUACGGAUGGGCAGGCCCCCCGAACAACUGUUAACAAUGGAUAUCUUGGUUCUC